UAAUUGAAGAGUUUGAUCAUGGCUCAGAUUGAACGCUGGCGGCAGGCCUAACACAUGCAAGUCGAGCGGUAACAGAGAGUAGCUUGCUACUUUGCUGACGAGCGGCGGACGGGUGAGUAAUGCUUGGGAACAUGCCUUGAGGUGGGGGACAACAGUUGGAAACGACUGCUAAUACCGCAUAAUGUCUACGGACCAAAGGGGGCUUCGGCUCUCGCCUUUAGAUUGGCCCAAGUGGGAUUAGCUAGUUGGUGAGGUAAUGGCUCACCAAGGCGACGAUCCCUAGCUGGUUUGAGAGGAUGAUCAGCCACACUGGGACUGAGACACGGCCCAGACUCCUACGGGAGGCAGCAGUGGGGAAUAUUGCACAAUGGGCGCAAGCCUGAUGCAGCCAUGCCGCGUGUGUGAAGAAGGCCUUCGGGUUGUAAAGCACUUUCAGUCAGGAGGAAAGGUUA
This 452-nucleotide ribosomal RNA is filed under the name Pseudoalteromonas sp. 20-92. Its description in RNAcentral is "bacterial SSU rRNA". It matches the Rfam family "Bacterial small subunit ribosomal RNA", at positions 1 to 455 of the family's 1533-position model. The record is from RNAcentral. Lineage: Bacteria; Pseudomonadati; Pseudomonadota; Gammaproteobacteria; Alteromonadales; Pseudoalteromonadaceae.